GGGGAUUUAGCUCAGUGGUAGAGCGCUUGCCUAGGAAGCUCGAGGCCCUGGGUUCGGUCCCCAGCUCCA
Rattus norvegicus (Norway rat) is the source of this 69-nucleotide non-coding RNA. The record is from Rfam. NCBI's taxonomy places the organism in Eukaryota, Metazoa, Chordata, Mammalia, Rodentia, Muridae.